This is an RNA transcript of Culex pipiens pallens (northern house mosquito), 2562 nucleotides long. RefSeq lists it as uncharacterized. The transcript is spliced from 8 exons. The record is from RefSeq and is a predicted model, not a curated record. Lineage: Eukaryota; Metazoa; Arthropoda; Insecta; Diptera; Culicidae.
GCCAUCGGUCUAUGGAACGACGGCGGAAACCGAGCUGAGUUGUGCUGGAACAUAGUGAAAUUUUUCAAUGUUUACGUUUUUUUCCUUCCGUCAGUGCAGGUUCGAUUCUUGGUGCUCGUAAUGAAAAAGGAAAAAACCGAAUCCGGAAGUGAUGGAAGUGGAAAUAUAGACAAACUGAGUGGGGAAAUGUGUGAUUUGGAAGGAAGAAUCCGCGGAAAAUUGGGCUUGAUUUGAGCAAAACUCUGGUUUGUGCAGCUGCUGCGUCAUUUGAUCACCAGUACCAGAGUGUUAGUCUUCAUGAUUUAGCUCAGGAUCCGCAUUUCAAUACAAAUUAAGUUAAUAUUCCAAGGGAAAAUAUUAUGCAUCGGUGGUCCCCUCGUUAUUUUUCGUUCAGCCCAGUUAGCAAGCAGCCCUCGAUGACUGGGCUACGUUUUCGAACAACUACUCCCACAAGUUCCUGAGUCCAGCCGAGUCCGGUUCCAGAUUGCAGAGACGAACGUUUUGAAGAAGUACUAUGUAGUACGAUUGACCACGCUGAGAAUGCGUCAUACUAUGCCACAGAAACGCCAUCAAGUCACCAUCGGGAUCGCAUCUUGGCAAUUUCUUUAUCCUUCAAUGAAAUGUUGUACAGAACCGGAGGAUUAUUCCGGUUCCUCCUCCGGUACAAGCCGAUGCAUCGUGCUCGGAAUUUCGCAGAAGGACUCCCCAUGACGGAGCGAAGUCCGUGCAGGAUGGUUUGGCUUAGUCGGAAGGAAUCGCCGCCCGGGAAACUCUCCGCGACCAUCCCGAACUCGCGCAAGUCCCUGUUCGAGUCGCGGAUUUCCACACCAAAGCGCAAGAGCUCGAACGAGAUUGCGGCGUCGUCGAGCAAGCCGAAGAUCCCAAAGGAACCAGCUGGACUCGCAAGCCUUCGACGCCUGGGAGAGCGAGCAGAUGGAACUGGUUGUUGCCGGAGGCGGUCGUUCAGCAGAUCGAUGACGACGAUGAUUACUUCCCGAGCUACCAGGAGGCCGUCGAUCCCAACUGCAGCCAGUUGUUCCUGGAGGAAGUCGAUCGCAAUGAGAAGAAGAUGGGCGUGUUCAACGGGUUUGAACGCACCCUGCUGGACACGAGCAACGUCGAGUUCAACGCCCCGCCGCUGGAGGUUGAUGCGGACCUGGCCGAAAUCAACUGGGAGGAGGAUGUGACGAUCGCGGCCGAGAAACCGUCGAACCGGUCCCGGUUCAACAUUUUCGGCAAGCAGGCGAGCGCGGAGUUCAAGACGAUCGGCUACGACUUGGGCAUUCCGCUGUUAAAUCGCUUCCUGCGGCGCCACUCGAAGUUCGCGUGUGCGGCGCUGUUUGCCCGGCUGGAACAAGACCAACUUCAGAUCAACUUCAAAUUGAAAAACUACUCGGUAAUCAUGACCCGGUACAAGCAAUUCUGGACUACAUCUCGACCUCGAAGAACAUGAAGCAGUUGCAAAACUUUUACGAGACCACGCUGGAAGCGCUCAAAGACGCCAAGAACAAUCGGCUCUGGUUCAAAACCAAAACGAAGCUCGGGAAGCUGUACUUCGAUCGGAACGACUUUGGCAAGCUCCAGAAAAUCCUCAAACAGCUGCACCAAUCCUGCCAGACGGACGACGGCGAGGACGACCUUAAAAAGGGAAAGCUGCUAGAAGUCUACGCGCUUGAGAUCCAAAUGUACACCGUAAAAACAACAAAAAGCUAAAGGCCCUCCACGAACAGUCCCUGCACAUUAAAUCAGCCAUCCCGCACCCCUUAAUCAUGGGCGUCACCUGGGAGUUCGGCGGCAGGUGCGCGCGAAGGCGAGUUCGAAAAGGUGCUCACGGACUUUUUCGAAGCGUUUAAAAACUACGACGAGUACGGCUCGUACCUCGUCCUCGCGAACGUGCUCAAGAAGUCCGGCAUCAACCCGUUCGACUCGCAGGAAGCGAAACCGCACAAAAACAGCCCGGAAAUCCUGUCCAUGACGAACCUGAUCGUGAGCUACAAGAACAACGACAAAAUGGAGUUCGAGUCGAUCCUGCGGAACAACCGGAACAACACCAUGGCCGAUCCGUUCAUCCGGGAGCACAUCGAGAACCUGCUGCGGAACCGUGAUCGACCGAUGACGACCGUGCGCAGCAGCAGCAGCGCCAGGAAACUCACUGGAACCGUUUUUGCCGGAACCGAUGCCUUUCACAAGGGCAUUUUCUACAAGGCCGGGCGCGUGUUCAACGUUGUAAAUUACGCCCUCGAUGUGAUCGUGAACAGGCGCGUCAACGGGACCAUCCUGGUCAAGCGCAUCGAGCACGUGAAGUCGUCCCGAUGCCGUAAGGACAUUCUGCGUCGCGUCAAGGAAAACUGCUCCUGGCCUUGAUCUACCUGAAGCGCAACGUGGCAAACUACGUGACGAGCAGGUCAUCGUGAACUCUUCCAUGUCCGUCUUCCGGAUGGCCCCGAUUCCCGGCGCGAUUUCGUCGUGGUGCCGCGAAUUCGUCAAGAGUUUAAAAAACAUAACCAAAGAAACAUAAAAUUUGUAAAUCUACCUGAGAAUAAAUCUUUACGUGUUCUGGUA